This 426-nucleotide ribosomal RNA is filed under the name uncultured bacterium. RNAcentral describes it as "bacterial SSU rRNA". It matches the Rfam family "Bacterial small subunit ribosomal RNA", at positions 470 to 896 of the family's 1533-position model. The record is from RNAcentral.
UGACGGUACCUGACUAAGAAGCCCCGGCUAACUACGUGCCAGCAGCCGCGGUAAUACGUAGGGGCAAGCGUUAUCCGGAUUUACUGGGUGUAAAGGGAGCGUAGACGGAAUUGCAAGUCUGAUGUGAAAAUCCGGGGCCCAACCCCGGAACUGCAUUGGAAACUGUAUUUCUAGAGUGUCGGAGAGGCAAGUGGAAUUCCUGGUGUAGCGGUGAAAUGCGUAGAUAUCAGGAGGAACACCAGUGGCGAAGGCGGCUUGCUGGACGAUGACUGACGUUGAGGCUCGAAAGCGUGGGGAGCAAACAGGAUUAGAUACCCUGGUAGUCCACGCCGUAAACGAUGACUACUAGGUGUCGGGAGGCAAAGCCUUUCGGUGCCGCAGCCAACGCAAUAAGUAGUCCACCUGGGGAGUACGUUCGCAAGAAUG